AACGAACGCUGGCGGCAUGCCUAACACAUGCAAGUCGAACGAGACCUUCGGGUCUAGUGGCGCACGGGUGCGUAACGCGUGGGAACCUGCCCUUAGGUUCGGAAUAACUCAGGGAAAUUUGAGCUAAUACCGGAUAAUGUCUUCGGACCAAAGAUUUAUCGCCUUUGGAUGGGCCCGCGUAGGAUUAGCUUGUUGGUGGGGUAAUGGCCUACCAAGGCGACGAUCCUUAGCUGGUCUGAGAGGAUGAUCAGCCACACUGGGACUGAGACACGGCCCAGACUCCUACGGGAGGCAGCAGUGGGGAAUAUUGGACAAGGGGCGAAAGCCUGAUCCAGCAAUGCCGCGUGAGUGAUGAAGGCCUUAGGGUUGUAAAGCUCUUUUACCAGGGAUGAUAAUGACAGUACCUGGAGAAUAAGCUCCGGCUAACUCCGUG
Molecule: ribosomal RNA, 433 nt
Filed under: uncultured bacterium
Lineage: Bacteria
Description: partial 16S ribosomal RNA
Rfam family: Bacterial small subunit ribosomal RNA
Source: RNAcentral